CCAUUUGUACUUUUUGUGGAUUUGAGUCUGGUUAAUAAAAAGACUGGAAGCUAAUCAUUAUAAGUUCAUUUUUCUUUUCAACGAAGCACGUUGGCGCUUGCUUAGCUUUUCGAGGACUCUUAACUUGGAAUUUACAACAUAGAAUAUAAACAUGAGCUACAAUGGAAAUGACUAUCAAAACUACUCUGAUGAUACUCGUGAGUCUGAAGCAAUGCGAAAAAUGUUUGUUGGGGGUCUAAAUCGAGAUACAACUGAAGAAACAUUUUACAAUUAUUUUAGUCAAUUUGGUCCCACAGAAGAUAAAGUUAUUAUCACUGAUCCACAUACACAUCAAUCAAGAGGUUUUGGUUUUGUUACAUUUGAAAAGUCUGAGUCAGUGGAAAAUGUUUUUUCUAGUCGACCACAUAUUAUUGAUGGUAAAACUGUUGAUGUCAAAAGAGCCAUGCCAAGAGAGAUAAAUACUCCUGGAGCUCAUAUUAAAACAACAAAGUUGUUUGUUAGCGGCUUUAGAGGAAUUGAUCUUGAACCAGCAGAACUUCAAGAUUACAUAGAAAAGCGUCAUGACACCAAAUUUGGGCGAAUAGAAAAAAUUGAUCUGUUAAAAGAUAGGGAAACAGGUCAAUUAAAAGGAUUUGGUUUUAUAGAAUGUAAUGACUCAGAUUUUGCUGAUCGGUUAUGCAUAUCAGAAACAUCCUUUGAACUUAAAGGAAGGACUCUUUCAAUAAAAAAAGCUGAGCCCCAAAAUAAUGCUGGUGGUAAUACAGGUGGCGGUGGUGGUGGUCAUCAAAAUGUUGGAGGAGGUGGUCCUAUGCGAGGUGGACGAGGUGGUGGUCCUAUGCGAGGUGGUAGCAGUGGAGGAAGAGGUGGAAGUGGAGGGCGAGGUGGAAGCGGCCCAAGAGGUGGUGGUGGCCCACGGGGUGGCAGCAGAGGUGGAUAUAAUCAAAAUAGUGGUUACCAAAGCAACAAUUAUGCUUCAGAUGACAACUACUCUACUUCUUACCCCGGUUAUAAUCAAAAUCAAGGUGGUUACCAACAAGGUGGUUAUCAGCAACAAAGCUAUCAACCUCCACAAUAUGGUGGUUAUCAACAAAAUUAUCAACAGUCUUCUGGAGGAUAUGGACAACAAAAUGCUAAUUAUGGACAACCCCCAGGUGGAUAUAAUCAAGGUCCGUCGUAUGGACAAGGAGGGUAUCCAAGUCGAGGAGGAAACCAACAACGAUACCAACCUUAUUAAUUUAUGUGUAAAAUCAGGAAGUAUAUUUGAACUGGUUUGUAAUCCGAGUUAAAGUUUCGCUAUCACUGACUUUCACCUAAUAAUUUUUUAAGCAAUUUACCGCCUAAUGGUUACCUUUUCUGACACUUAAUAAACGAUGAUGUUAAAAGAGGAGGCAAUGAGGCUCAAUUACCAAUUUCAAAAAUAAAAAGUAGACGUUUUCUAAAGAAUACUAAUACAAAAUAUUUGAGUAAUUUUUGUAACUCAGGUUGAGCCUAGGUGAGCCAGAUAAAGUUAGUAUUUGCAUAUUGCAUUUACUACCAUGGUA
RNA transcript from Hydra vulgaris (swiftwater hydra), 1541 nucleotides. It is a transcript of the gene named heterogeneous nuclear ribonucleoprotein A3, with no coding region annotated. The record is from RefSeq and is a predicted model, not a curated record. Lineage: Eukaryota; Metazoa; Cnidaria; Hydrozoa; Anthoathecata; Hydridae.